RNAcentral lists this non-coding RNA (284 nucleotides) under Trichomonas vaginalis G3. RNAcentral's name for it is "Eukaryotic large subunit ribosomal RNA". It matches the Rfam family "Eukaryotic large subunit ribosomal RNA", at positions 1 to 307 of the family's 3401-position model. The record is from Rfam by way of RNAcentral. Lineage: Eukaryota; Parabasalia; Trichomonadida; Trichomonadidae.
GUAGUCUGCCAUACGCAGGAAGACCCGCUGAACUGAAGCAUCUCAUUAAGCGGAGGAAAAGAAACUAACUAGGAUUCCCUUAGUAAAGGCGAUCGAAAAGGGAACAGCCCAACGUCUUAAUCCCGCAAGGGAAAUGUAGUCGGUUCACCUAUUGCACUGGUCUAAGUCAGAUGGAAUGCUGCGCGAUUCAGAGUAAAAGCCUCGUAUGACCAACCGCAAGCUUACGAUGGACCGGGGAGAGUCGGAUACUUUGAGAGUAGUGUCUUAAGGGGGUGGUAUGUCCC